This 477-nucleotide ribosomal RNA is filed under the name uncultured bacterium. RNAcentral's name for it is "bacterial SSU rRNA". It matches the Rfam family "Bacterial small subunit ribosomal RNA", at positions 29 to 531 of the family's 1533-position model. The record is from RNAcentral.
AACGAACGCUGGCGGUAUGCUUAAUCCAUGCAAGUCGAACGGAAAUAUUUUGAAGCUUGCUUUGAAAUAUUUUAGUGGCAAACGGGUGAGUAACACGUGGGAAUCUACCUAUCAGUACGGAAUAACUUUCGGAAACGAAUGCUAAUACCGUAUAUUCUCUAAGGAGGAAAGAUUUAUCGCUGAUAGAUGAGCCCGCGCAAGAUUAGGUAGUUGGUAGGGUAAAGGCCUACCAAGCCUACGAUCUUUAGCUGGUCUGAGAGGAUGAUCAGCCACACUGGGACUGAGACACGGCCCAGACUCCUACGGGAGGCAGCAGUGGGGAAUCUUGCGCAAUGGGGGCAACCCUGACGCAGCCAUGCCGCGUGAACGAUGAAGGCCUUAGGGUUGUAAAGUUCUUUUACCCGUGACGAUGAUGACGGUAACGGGGGAAUAAGCUCCGGCUAACUUCGUGCCAGCAGCCGCGGUAAAGUCUGUACU